This 623-nucleotide ribosomal RNA is filed under the name uncultured Rickettsiales bacterium. RNAcentral describes it as "bacterial SSU rRNA". It matches the Rfam family "Bacterial small subunit ribosomal RNA", at positions 9 to 669 of the family's 1533-position model. The record is from RNAcentral. Lineage: Bacteria; Pseudomonadati; Pseudomonadota; Alphaproteobacteria; Rickettsiales.
GAGUUUGAUCCUGGCUCAGAACGAACGCUGGCGGCAGGCUUAACACAUGCAAGUCGAACGAGCUUAGGCCUUCGGGUACGGCUAGUGGCAGACGGGUGAGUAACACGUGGGAAACUACCCUUUAGUCAGGAAUAGCUUCGGGAAACUGAAAUUAAUACCUGAUACUCCCUCCGGGGGAAAGAUUUAUCGCUAAAGGAUGUGCCCGCGCUAGAUUAGCUUGUUGGUGAGGUAAUGGCUCACCAAGGCUCCGAUCUAUAGCUGGUCUGAGAGGACGAUCAGCCACACUGGAACUGAGACACGGUCCAGACUCCUACGGGAGGCAGCAGUGGGGAAUAUUGGACAAUGGGCGAAAGCCUGAUCCAGCCAUGCCGCGUGAGUGAUGAAGGCCUUCGGGUUGUAAAACUCUUUUAGCAGGGAAGAUAAUGACGGUACCUGCAGAAAAAGCCCCGGCUAACUUCGUGCCAGCAGCCGCGGUAAUACGAAGGGGGCUAGCGUUGUUCGGAAUUACUGGGCGUAAAGCGCGCGUAGGCGGUGUAUUAAGUUGGAAGUGAAAUACCUGGGCUCAACCCAGGAACUGCUUUCAAAACUGGUACACUAGAGAAUAGUAGAGGAUGAUGGAAUUU